GAUGAGAGUGGUGAAAUGGGUUCAUUGAAUAGUUGGGCUUCAGAUAUUGGUAGAGUUGUGGUGGUUAGAUUGAAUUUUUGAAGGGGAGGUGAUGGUGGGUUAGAUGUGGGAGUUUCAGAGGGCUUUAUGGUGGAGGUUGUGGGUUUAGAGUGUGUGUAAAUUUGGGAAGGCUAAGGUAGGGAAGAAUAUAAUUUCCUUAAACAAACAGUAGGAGAGUCAGAGGGUUGAGACUUACUUGGA
This 240-nucleotide long non-coding RNA is filed under the name Lathyrus oleraceus (garden pea). RNAcentral's name for it is "Pisum sativum (pea) long non-coding RNA (PSAT_LNC001335)". Lineage: Eukaryota; Viridiplantae; Streptophyta; Magnoliopsida; Fabales; Fabaceae. The record is from RNAcentral.